Molecule: unclassified non-coding RNA, 407 nt
Filed under: soil metagenome
Description: partial contains 5.8S ribosomal RNA, internal transcribed spacer 2, and large subunit ribosomal RNA
Rfam family: 5.8S ribosomal RNA (bases 1-121)
Source: RNAcentral
GAUGAAGAACGUAGUGAAAUGCGAUAAGUAGUGUGAAUUGCAGAAGUACCGUGAAUCAUCGAAUCUUUGAACGCAAAUUGCACUCUCUGGUAUUCCGGGGAGUAUGCCUGUUUGAGGGUCGCUUAACAAACCAUCGAUUUCGUUGCUUUUUUUUUUAAAGUGAUGUUUAUCGGAUUUGAGCCGUCUUUUUUUUUAUAUUUAAGUGGCUUAAAAUUGAUUUUUUUGGUACGAUCGAAGCGUAUUUUUAUGAUCAAUUUUUGGUUAAAGAAACGCACACGUACCGUUAUUUAUAUGAUGUAAUACGUUUGACUAUUGGAUUUAGUUCAUUCGUAUACGAUAUCUUUCAAUAUUUGACCUCAAAUCAGGUAAGAACACCCGCUGAACUUAAGCAUAUCAUAAGCGGAGGA